This 117-nucleotide ribosomal RNA is filed under the name Salicibibacter halophilus. Lineage: Bacteria; Bacillati; Bacillota; Bacilli; Caryophanales; Bacillaceae. The record is from RNAcentral.
UCUGGUGAUGAUAGCGAAGAGGUCACACCCGUUCCCAUGCCGAACACGGAAGUUAAGCUCUUCAGCGCUGAUGGUAAUUGGGCGGAAACGCCCUGUGAGCGUAGGACAUUGCCAGGU